GUCUAUGGCUAUGCCACGCUGAACGUGCCCGAUCUCAUCUGAUCUUGGAAACUAAGUAGGGUCGGGCCUAGUUAGUACUUGGAUGGGAGACCACCUAGGAAGACCAGGUGCCGUAGGAG
RNAcentral lists this ribosomal RNA (119 nucleotides) under Pteropus alecto (black flying fox). The record is from RNAcentral. Lineage: Eukaryota; Metazoa; Chordata; Mammalia; Chiroptera; Pteropodidae.